This 305-nucleotide ribosomal RNA is filed under the name uncultured bacterium. RNAcentral's name for it is "bacterial SSU rRNA". It matches the Rfam family "Bacterial small subunit ribosomal RNA", at positions 333 to 634 of the family's 1533-position model. The record is from RNAcentral.
ACGCGCCUACGGGGGGCAGCAGUGAGGAAUAUUGGUCAAUGGGCGGAAGCCUGAACCAGCCACGUCGCGUGAGGGAAUAAGGCCCUACGGGUCGUAAACCUCUUUUGCCGGGGAGCAAGGGCGGGGACGUGUCCCGGCCCGGAGAGUACCCGGAGAAAAAGCAUCGGCUAACUCCGUGCCAGCAGCCGCGGUAAUACGUAGGGGGCAAGCGUUAUCCGGAUUCACUGGGCGUAAAGGGAGCGCAGGCGGCGCGGCAAGUCUGAUGUGAAAGCCCGGGGCCCAACCCCGGGUCUGCAUUGGAAACU